ACAAAACAUCAAGCCAACAGUUCAGGACUAGUCAUUCAAAUGGACUAAAGGUGGGGGAGAAAAAAUAAGAGUGGAUAAAAGAAAGAAAGAAAACAGAGAAAGGUGGGAAAAAAAAAACAAAGGAAGGAAGAGAGAAAAGAGAAUGAGAGGAAGAGAAGGAAGGGGAAAAACAAGAUUGACUUUACAGUAUGAGAUAUACUAUUAUAUAUUGGACCCUUGGUGGGCAGUGCCUAAACAGAGACAACUACAGGUUUCUGGCUGUGGCCACUCUCUGGUGAAACUAAGGGGUUUCUGUGUGGAGGUGCCUAACAGCCACCGUCCAGUUUGGUAGUAUGAUGCCUCUGGCUUCCCUCUAUCACACGUCUUCUUUUCGAGUAAAGGUUUUUCAUAAAUGUGAGCGUGGAAGAAGAAACCAGAUGGUGUCAGAAGCGGAUCCGAAGUGGAACUUUUAGUGACCCUCAGGAGCACUGAAUGAACAUGCAAGGAACCUGCAGGACCCACUUGUGUCCAUUGAUCUCUGGGAGCAGCUGGGAUAAGCUCCUUUUCGGAUUUCAGAGCUCCAUGGACUUGUGUCUUGAGAUCCCUGAGUUUCUUUGAGCAAAUUUCUGAUCCAAAAUGGGUUUGGCAUCAUGGCAGAAACAGGACUGGGUCCACGAAUGGAUUUGAUCCAGGAAUGAACUGGCUUGGAUCCAGUCAGAGGUCUCUUACAUCUGACUGGGUCAGAAAGGAACUGGUAGUAAGCAGUAAUAUUGCAGAGGUUAUAACAUUUGGCUUUUAAAAAAUAACAGGAAUUUUUGUGUUCUACCUCCUAUGUUAAAUUUUUCUUGUAUACUUAGGUAGAAAAAAGUCAUUGGCUAAGUUAAUCAAGAGAACCUGAGAGUAAAGCCAAUAUUUUAGGUAAAAAUGAGAUCCUUAAUUUCUGGGAAACUGAGUUCAUUCUGGUUUAUACUUUAAGCCUGGGAGGCAGCGAAGUCUUGCGGCAAAAUCUUACAAAAGAUAACUUACAGGGGAACGCUGCAAAUGAACAACAAUGCAUUGAAGUAAAUUUAAAAAUGAUGGUUCUCGGUAAAUUCCCAUUGGCUAAGAAUGGAUUUGGCACUUCGGGAUGUCAACUGCUAUUCUCUUUGGAAUAAUCUGUCUUGCACUCUUUGAUGACGACUAUGGGUGACAGGAUUAGGGAUUUACAGGAUCCUGGGACAUGGGGAGCUUAUUCCUCCCUAAAAGGGGAAACUUGAGAGAUGAGGAGACUGCUGGAAAAGAGCCCUUUGCUACCAAGAAGCAACCACCUGAACUUCUCAGUGUUGCUUCAAUGUGUGGGUCUUUCUCUGGCCUCCCUGAUCAUUUCGCCUUCCCCAACCUCCCACAGACUAUGCUUUCCUCUCUCUCCUUUCCCUUUCUUAUCUUUUCUCUUACUCAGAGGGACCAUCUUGCCCAGAGACCACGUGUUGAAACUCCUACUCAGAGGUUGGAUUAAAGAUGACAGGACCCAUCUGAGGGCAAAUUUAAGCCUUGCCAAUUUGAUAUUGGGUGCUAAGCAGAGUAGCUAAUAUCUAUGUUUUAUCACACGUAUUUUGCUCUGGCCAGACUGAAAAAAGAUAAUUUUUCUUUAUGAUGCAUCUUGGUCCCAGCAGGAUGGUGUGGCAAGCUGAGUCACUAAGGCUGCUCAGGGAAAGGGAACCCAGAAUCUUGGCAUGCCGGCAAAAGGCCCAUGGUUCACUGAGGACAACUCCUUUGCAAUCUAGAACCCAAAGAUUGGAUCUUCUGAGAACAUCAGAGAAAGACUGUCCUUGCCAUCCACACUACAGCAAAGCUUUGGAGCCUUGAACCUUGGGUUCAUGAUCUUACAACUGAGAAGGGCCCCUCCACACUCCUGAACUGUACAACCAUUGAAACUCUUAAGGUAAAAUUAACUAGGAAAGUUUAUCUCCUUAAGAAGAUGGCAUCCUUGAUGUGAACAGCUUUUCCCAAGAUCCUGGAUCAAAACGUCUACUAUCACGAGACUCUUAUAUUUGAAUAUAUUUUCCGGUUUAUGCCUUUAGGAACAAUUGAAAUGAAAGGGGGAUCUAUUAUGUGCACUUAUAGGGUAUACUUUUAUUUGUGAAGGAUUUUGCAUCCAGCCUUAUAUGAAUAACCUUGUACUUUAAUAGAUAAAAGAUGAAGGCUCAAUGUAGGUGAGAAAAUGUAGUGGUACAUAUGUUGCCUCAUAAUCAGUCAAAACUCUUCUUAACCCACAUAAUGGAUUAAAGAGAAUAUUGCCAGGAGGCCUUCGCUUUUCUAAAAUGACAUCAUUUGUUAGGUCCUUUUUCCAUAGUUUAGUAUAAAAGAGGCAAUAAUUAGAAAUGUCACCCUCAUAAUAGGCUCUACAGCAAAUUCUACUUUAAAGGCUAUUGUUACACAACAGACUUUAAAUUAUCUUGUAAAAGUUAUGCUAAAUAAUAGAAUUGGCCAAACAGAAAAGUACCUGUGCAGUUGCUGACACCUGUGGCCUAUGGAGAAAUACAUCAAAUGUAGAUUAUACAAUUUCAGUUGUAGGGGAUUAAUGAAAAGACCACCUAGUCAAGCAAGUAGGCUCUUCAUAUAGCUCAUUCUUUAAUCUAUUUAAUUUUACAUGGUUUGGUUUAUGGGGACCCUGGGUAAGGAGCACACUCCAAAUUUGUUAUUAUUCUCCCAGUACUCAUAAUGAUAGUCUCCCUGAUGUGCUAUAUUCUCUUAAAGGUUUUAAAUGUUUGCAUGCAGCCAUCUCUAGAACAUCAAAUGGUCUCUAUUCAACCAGAAUGACAAAAGCUGAAAGAAAUGUGUGACCCUGAGGAUAUCGUAACCUACGAAUGAUGUGCUGAGACUGGAAACCCUAAAUGAUGUUACUGAGAAUGGCACUAAGGCCUUAAGUUUUGGUCACACUGUCACCUAAGUGAGAACCUGGCUGAAAAGGGAGAAUUUUUAAACAACAAAAUUAGAGGAAGCCACUAUUUUGGACUGAGCUCAUGCACUAGGCCCCAACAAACGAAACCAAGCUAAAAUGGAGUCACUCAUCCUAAAUGUGACAUAAUCAAACCAAGGCUUUAAGAACACAGAUAGAUGCUAGAACAGACUACAUUUUGUUUUUCUCCUGUAAACAGGAUGUCUAUCAUAAGGAGGUACCGUCUACUCAGUCCUUAUUCUCUCCUUGCAAAACCCACUUUUCUACUGUUUCCCAGUGGGUUUCAAACCAUAUAAUACAUUUAUGAUAGUGAUAUUAACAUCAAUGACUAAGGUUUUGGUCAAUCUCUCAAAAUUGAGAAAAUGACCAAAAGAGGGAAAUGAUUGCUAAAGCAAACUAAAUAUGGCCUGGGAAGAACUCCAUAGUCUUAUAUUUGAGUUCUUGCAGAUGAACUGUAACUUAGCUUAAUAGUCAGACAAAACUGAAAACCUAACUUAAUAGUAUGCGUCUGUAACAAUGGCUGAGUGUUCGCUAAUCCCAGCGGCCAUACUUCAACCACUCAUAGACUGCUGAAAGUUCAAAGUGCAUUCAAAUAAGGCAAAAACGGAGCUUAACCAGCCUCACUGUUUCUGUAUCUCACUUCCGAUUCCUGUAUGUCACUUUACCUUUUUUGUCUAUAAAUGUGUUCUGACCACGAGGCACCCCAGGUCUCUGUGAAUCUGUUGUAAUUCUGGAGGUGCCUGAUUCGCCAAUCAUUCAUUGCUCAAUUAAACUCCUUUAAAUUUAACUCAGCUGGACUUUUCCUUUUAUCAGGUUGAAUUUUACAUAUCUACUUUAGAUUUUAAUUUCUUCUAUAAAUUAAAAUCUAAUCUUCCAUAAUUUCUGAUAAAAUGUUUGUUAAAUGAACUCAAUGCAUUGGACAAAAAUUUCCUGUUGCUUUUCUUUCAAAGUACAUAAAUUGAUGCUACUUUUUCCACCUUUCUCACAUUUUCUCUGUCCCAAUCUUACACUGGAGGUUCAAUAGUCUUCUUCAUGCCUCAAGUUCUUUCUCUUGUAAUAUGAAAGGCAUGUGGCCACUUUCCUUUUCUAAUUCUUUCAUAAAUCUAAACAUUUUCACUACCUAUUGGUUACUAUGCUCACCAUCUGGGUGAAGGCAUCAUUUGUACACAAAAUCUAUAAAAUAUACUAUUUACUUAUGUAAAAAACCUAAACAUGUACCUGCUGAACCUAAAAUAAAAGUUGAAAAAGAAAAAUAAAUAAAUAAUACCUUCCCAGAAUAUUGCCUAUAGGAACAAGUCUAAAUUCCUUAAUACAGAGUAAAAUGGUAAUAAAAUUCUUGCCCUGAUUUUCUUUCUUAGGCCUAUGUCAUUUCAACACUCCCCAUCACCAUUCUUCCCCAAUCUCUUCCAUUUUUUGAGUCUAAAAUCCUUAAUACAUUGAAUUUUUGUUCAAUAUUUGUUAUAUGCCCAAAACUAUGCUAAGCUGCUGGACUCGUGCUCUUUCACAAUUCCUUUUCUGUUCCUUUCAGACUAGUGAAAUGAUACUGAUUUUUAAUGAUCUGUCUUUUCUUGGAAAUUUCCUAUUUCCAAAUGUCAAAAAAAGAACUUAUAAUUUUUGUCUCUCCAUUUCCAUAACACUUAUCAAUGUCACUGACAUAGCCCUAAUAAUUAUGAGAUGUACAUUGUUAGUUACACACAUUUCUUGUUUUCCUACUUUUGAUGUCUUUAAGGUCAGAGAUUGUAUUUUACUCGUUUGUAUUCCUAUCAGAAAAAAAACUGUGGCUUACAUGUAAUAUACAUUCAGUAAUUGUUUGAAUGAAAAAUGUAUUAAAAUAGUAUGAGUAUCCAAGUUGGUGAUUCAAUUUAGUUAAUCUCUUCUGAUACCCCUACCCCAAAAAGGCAUAUGUAAAAGUGCAUAAAAUUGUGUGUAUGAAUAUGUAGAUCAAUAGAUAGAAGCAUCUGUGAACACAAAUAAGAAAUUUAGGAAAUGAUUAUCUUAGAAACUCUUUAGCAUCAAAUCUUAUUUAUUUAUUUAUUUAUUUGCUAUAGCUUUUGGGGAAAAGUUGGAUUUUUGUUACAUGGAUAAGUUCUCUUGUAGUAAUUCCUGAGAUUUUGGUGCACACUGUACCCAAUCUGUAUUCUUUAUUCCUCACCCCUCUCCCCGCAUUCCCCUUGAGUCUCUGAAGUCCCUUAUAUCAUUCUUACGCCUUUGCAGCCUCAUAACUUAGCUCCCACUUAUAAGUGAGAUCAUACAAAAUUUGGUUUUCCAUUCCUGAGUUACUUCACUUAGAAUAACUGUUUCCAGCUCCAUCCAGGUUGCUGAAAAUGCCAUUAUUUCAUUCAUUUUUAUGGCUGAGUAGUAUUCCAUGGUGUAUAUAUGCCACCUUUUCUUUAUUUACUCUUUGGCCAGUGGACAUUUAGGCUGAUUUCAUAUUUUUGCAAUUGUGAAUUUUGCUACUAUACACAUGUAUGUGCAAGUGUAUUUUUCAUACAAUGACUUCUUUUCCUCUGGGUAGAGACCCAGUAGUGCGAUUGCUGGAUGAAAUGCUAGUUCUACUUCUAGUUAUUUAAGGAAUCUCCAUACUGUUUUCCAUAUGGGUGGUACUAGUUUACAUUCCCAACAGCAGUAUAAAAGUGUUCCCUUUUCACCAUAUUCACGCUAAUAUUUAUUAUUUUUUAUUUUUAAUUAUGGUCAUUCUUGGAUCUCAUUGUAUUUUCAAUUUGCAUUUCCCUGGUAAUUAGAGAUGUUGAGCAUAUUUUCAUGUUUGUUGGCCAUUUGGAUAACUUUUUCUGAGAAUUGUCUGUUCAUGUCCUUUGCCCACUUUUUAAGUUUAAUUUAAUACUAAUCCUACUAUUAUAUAUAUAUAUAUAAGAAUAGAUAAAUAUUAUUAUAUACAUAACAGUAGGAUAUAAAAGAAUAAAUAUAUUCUUAUAUAUGUAAUAGUAGAAUAUAUACAUAAUAGUAAUAUAUAUAUAUAUAUAUAUAUAUUCUUUUUUAGAGACAGAAUCUCACUUUGUUCCCAGACUGGAGUGCAGUGGCACAAUCAGCUCACUGGAGCCUUGAAUUCCUGGGCUCAAGCAAUCCUCCCACAUAAGCCUUCUGAGUAAUUGCAACUACAGACACUCACUACCUUGCCCAGCUAAUUUGGUAGAGACAGGGUCUUGCUGUACUGCCAAGGCUAGCCUUGAACUCUUGGCCUUGAGCGAUCCUCUCACCUCAGCCUCCUAAAAUGGUAAAAUUACUGGUGUUAGCCACCUCACCCAGCAUAUAAAAAUAUGAUAAUAUCAAAUGUAUAGAAGAGAUACCCACAGUUAUAAAAACCACCAUAAAAAUACAAUUAUAUAUAUAAACAAAACUUCUUGGUGAAAAAUAAAAUUUAAUCUUAAAUAUAACUAUUAUACUUGUAGUAAAUUAUUAUGUAAUCCAUAUUUUCUGUGGAGCAAGAUACAAACUGCUAAAAAGAAACAAUCG
RNAcentral lists this long non-coding RNA (6388 nucleotides) under Homo sapiens (human). RNAcentral describes it as "non-protein coding lnc-CADM2-3:20". Lineage: Eukaryota; Metazoa; Chordata; Mammalia; Primates; Hominidae. The record is from RNAcentral.